This is a non-coding RNA of Nicotiana tabacum (common tobacco), 465 nucleotides long. The record is from RefSeq and is a predicted model, not a curated record. Lineage: Eukaryota; Viridiplantae; Streptophyta; Magnoliopsida; Solanales; Solanaceae.
AAAUAUUAGGGCUGUCUCCAGCAGCUGUGAGUCAAGACCUUGUCAGGAAAACAUGACUGUGUGAUUUUAUUUGGGAAUUGCUAAGAUAACUGCAGCAAAAGCGCAGACAGAGUUGAUGGAGUUCUUUCUUAGCAAAUUGUUGUAGUCAUGUCAUGCUCUCAUGCUGGUGUCUCUUACGCAGCUAGCAGAAAUGCCUAUCCUCUUAUAUUGCGACACUUUACUGAUUGUUAAGGUUGUCUUUUGAUUGAUCAACAUAGACUCAUGCUUACUGGGAAGAAUUUUGUUAUGUUCAUCUUUUUCUGUAUGUUUCAUGUGGUCUUUCACUGUGAUAUCUAGAUGCCCUCUAUAAACAUCAUGCAUCUCUUUCUUAUGAGGUAAUAUAAUCUUAGAACCAGUCAAAGCACUGUUUCAUUUUUGUUUUUUUAUAGUUUGGUAAUUGUAAUUAAGGUGAGUGUCACUGUUUGA